AGGAAUUGGCGGGGGAGCACCACAACGGGUGGAGCUUGCGGUUUAAUUGGAUUCAACGCCGGAAAUCUUACCGGGACCGACAGCAAUAUGAAGGCCAGGCUGAAGACUUUGCCGGAUUAGCUGAGAGGUGGUGCAUGGCCGUCGUCAGUUCGUACUGUGAAGCAUCCUGUUAAGUCAGGCAACGAGCGAGACCCACGCCCGCAGUUGCCAGCGUACUCUCCGGAGUGACGGGUACACUGUGGGGACCGCCGCUGCUAAAGCGGAGGAAGGAAUGGGCAACGGUAGGUCAGUAUGCCCCGAAUAUCCCGGGCUACACGCGAGCUACAAUGGUUGGUACAAUGGGUAUCUACCCCGAAAGGGGACGGAAAUCUCCUAAAACCAAUCUUAGUUCGGAUUGAGGGCUGCAACUCGCCCUCAUGAAGCUGGAAUCCGUAGUAAUCGCGUUUCAACAGAACGCGGUGAAUACGUCCCUGCUCCUUGCACACACCGCCCGUC
This 495-nucleotide ribosomal RNA is filed under the name uncultured archaeon. RNAcentral's name for it is "bacterial SSU rRNA". It matches the Rfam family "Archaeal small subunit ribosomal RNA", at positions 860 to 1354 of the family's 1478-position model. The record is from RNAcentral.